CGCAGCCGCGGUAAUUCCAGUUCCAAUAGCGUAUAUUAAAGUUGUUGCAGUUAAAAAGCUCGUAGUUGAAUUUCGGGGUCAGCAGGUUGGUCGUGCCUAUGGUAUGAACUGGCUUCGCUGGUCUCUCCUUUCUGAAGAACUGUAAUGCCAUUAAUUUGGUGUUGCAGGGACACAGGACUGUUACUUUGAAAAAAUUAGAGUGUUUAAAGCAGGCUAACGCUUGAAUACAUUAGCAUGGAAUAAUGAAAUAGGACGUUCGAACCUAUUUUGUUGGUUUCUAGGAUUGACGUAAUGAUUAAUAGGGAUAGUUGGGGGCAUUAGUAUUCAAUUGUCAGAGGUGAAAUUCUUGGAUUUAUUGAAGACUGACUACUGCGAAAGCAUUUGCCAGGGAUGUUUUCAUUAAUCAAGAACGAAAGUUAGGGGAUCGAAGACGAUCAGAUACCGUCGUAGUCUUAACCAUAAACUAUGCCGACUAGGGAUCAGAUGAUGUUAAUUUUUUAAUGACUCA
RNAcentral lists this ribosomal RNA (508 nucleotides) under uncultured fungus. Its description in RNAcentral is "SSU rRNA". It matches the Rfam family "Eukaryotic small subunit ribosomal RNA", at positions 569 to 1078 of the family's 1831-position model. The record is from RNAcentral. Lineage: Eukaryota; Fungi.